RNAcentral lists this ribosomal RNA (428 nucleotides) under Actinomycetes bacterium. Its description in RNAcentral is "Actinobacteria bacterium partial 16S ribosomal RNA". It matches the Rfam family "Bacterial small subunit ribosomal RNA", at positions 355 to 776 of the family's 1533-position model. The record is from RNAcentral. Lineage: Bacteria; Bacillati; Actinomycetota; Actinomycetes.
UAGGGAAUCUUCCGCAAUGGGCGAAAGCCUGACGGAGCAACGCCGCGUGAGUGAUGAAGGUCUUCGGAUCGUAAAACUCUGUUAUUAGGGAAGAACAAUGUGUAAGUAACUAUGCACGUCUUGACGGUACCUAAUCAGAAAGCCACGGCUAACUACGUGCCAGCAGCCGCGGUAAUACGUAGGUGGCAAGCGUUAUCCGGAAUUAUUGGGCGUAAAGCGCGCGUAGGCGGUUUUUUAAGUCUGAUGUGAAAGCCCACGGCUCAACCGUGGAGGGUCAUUGGAAACUGGAAAACUUGAGUGCAGAAGAGGAAAGUGGAAUUCCAUGUGUAGCGGUGAAAUGCGCAGAGAUAUGGAGGAACACCAGUGGCGAAGGCGACUUUCUGGUAUGUAACUGAAGCUAAUGUGCGAAAGCGUGGGGAUCAAACAGG